RNAcentral lists this long non-coding RNA (465 nucleotides) under Betta splendens (Siamese fighting fish). RNAcentral's name for it is "lncRNA (ENSBSLG00000001600.1)". Lineage: Eukaryota; Metazoa; Chordata; Actinopteri; Anabantiformes; Osphronemidae. The record is from RNAcentral.
AUGGAUCGACACCUUAAAGACCUGUUUGAUGAGCUGCAGCGUCGCACACCCAGCACCAACACAAUCCUAAACAAGCUGGGCAUCGACAGAGUGUGGGAACAACAAGACGCUGCUGAGUUCUACGUAAAGAUCUUAAGUCAAACCAGUGAAGAUGCUUCACAGAUCUUCCACGGAGCAUUGACACAUACGACCAUAUGUCAUAAUCCUCAGUGUGGAGCACAGAAACCUGCAGACUCACGUUUCUGGCAUCUUCCUCUCUCAUUGAAUGAUUCCCACAGUGAAGAAUAUCAAGUGGUGAACGGCAUCAGGGAGUUUUUCAGAGAUUCUCAUUUCAGUGGACUGGACCAGAUGUACUGUGAGGAGUGUGAUGACAAAGUGGACGCGACUGUUGUGAGUGAUCACAGCGUGUCUGAUGCACCAACAUUAACAGUGUUUAUUAAUGUUCAUAAUUUAAUAAGCAGCUGA